This 203-nucleotide long non-coding RNA is filed under the name Lathyrus oleraceus (garden pea). RNAcentral's name for it is "Pisum sativum (pea) long non-coding RNA (PSAT_LNC025103)". The record is from RNAcentral. Lineage: Eukaryota; Viridiplantae; Streptophyta; Magnoliopsida; Fabales; Fabaceae.
AGGAGCAGCAAGUUCUCUCAGAGUUCUUUGGUCAGCCAUAUUAAACUCAAUAGAAAAAAAACAACAAAGAAUGAGAAAACACAUCACUAAUUCAGCAAUGCAGCAACAAAUAGGAAAAUACCGACAAUGUCCCAAUUAAGAGCAGACAAUUGAAAUAUGUAAAAAACUAUUAAAAUAAAAGGGAAAAAAUACAAAAACACAAA